AACGAACGCUGGCGGCAUGCCUAACACAUGCAAGUCGAACGAGACCUUCGGGUCUUGUGGCGCACGGGUACGUAACGCGUGGGAACCUGCCCUUAGGUUCGGAAUAACUCCCCGAAAGGGGUGUUAAUACCGGAUAAUGUCUUCGGACCAAAGAUUUAUCGCCUUUGGAUGGGCCCGCGUUGGAUUAGCUAGUUGGUAGGGUAAAAGCCUACCAAGGCGACGAUCCAUAGCUGGUCUGAGAGGAUGAUCAGCCACACUGGGACUGAGACACGGCCCAGACUCCUACGGGAGGCAGCAGUGGGGAAUAUUGGACAAUGGGCGAAAGCCUGAUCCAGCAAUGCCGCGUGAGUGAUGAAGGCCUUAGGGUUGUAAAGCUCUUUUACCCGGGAUGAUAAUGACAGUACCGGGAGAGUAAGCUCCGGCUAACUCCGUG
This 433-nucleotide ribosomal RNA is filed under the name uncultured bacterium. Its description in RNAcentral is "partial 16S ribosomal RNA". It matches the Rfam family "Bacterial small subunit ribosomal RNA", at positions 29 to 507 of the family's 1533-position model. The record is from RNAcentral.